RNAcentral lists this ribosomal RNA (514 nucleotides) under Virgibacillus halodenitrificans. RNAcentral describes it as "bacterial SSU rRNA". It matches the Rfam family "Bacterial small subunit ribosomal RNA", at positions 877 to 1392 of the family's 1533-position model. The record is from RNAcentral. Lineage: Bacteria; Bacillati; Bacillota; Bacilli; Caryophanales; Bacillaceae.
GGAGUACGGCCGCAAGGCUGAAACUCAAAAGAAUUGACGGGGGCCCGCACAAGCGGUGGAGCAUGUGGUUUAAUUUGACGCAACGCGAAGAACCUUACCAGGUCUUGACAUCCUCUGCAAUCGGUAGAGAUACCGAGUUCCCUUCGGGGACAGAGUGACAGGUGGUGCAUGGUUGUCGUCAGCUCGUGUCGUGAGAUGUUGGGUUAAGUCCCGCAACGAGCGCAACCCUUGAUCUUAGUUGCCAGCAUUUAGUUGGGCACUCUAAGGUGACUGCCGGUGACAAACCGGAGGAAGGUGGGGAUGACGUCAAAUCAUCAUGCCCCUUAUGACCUGGGCUACACACGUGCUACAAUGGAUGGAACAAAGGGAAGCAAAACCGCGAGGUCAAGCAAAUCCCAUAAAACCAUUCUCAGUUCGGAUUGCAGGCUGCAACUCGCCUGCAUGAAGCCGGAAUCGCUAGUAAUCGCGGAUCAGCAUGCCGCGGUGAAUACGUUCCCGGGCCUUGUACACACCG